UACGUAGGGUGCGAGCGUUAAUCGGAUUUACUGGGCGUAAAGGGGGCGUAGGCGGCCCGGCAAGUCAAGUGUGAAAUCCGGCGGCUCAACCGCUGGGCUGCGCUUGAAACUGCCGGGCUUGAGUGCAGCAGAGGGAGACGGAAUUGCCGGUGUAGGGGUGAAAUGCGUAGAGAUCAGGAGGAACACCGAUGGCGAAGGCAGCCCCCUGGGCCUGUACUGACGCUCAUGCACGAAAGCGUGGGGAGCAAACAGG
This 253-nucleotide ribosomal RNA is filed under the name uncultured microorganism. RNAcentral describes it as "partial 16S ribosomal RNA". It matches the Rfam family "Bacterial small subunit ribosomal RNA", at positions 524 to 776 of the family's 1533-position model. The record is from RNAcentral.